UGGGGAAUAUUGCACAAUGGGCGCAAGCCUGAUGCAGCCAUGCCGCGUGUAUGAAGAAGGCCUUCGGGUUGUAAAGUACUUUCAGCGGGGAGGAAGGCGAUAAGGUUAAUAACCUUGUCGAUUGACGUUACCCGCAGAAGAAGCACCGGCUAACUCCGUGCCAGCAGCCGCGGUAAUACGGAGGGCGCAAGCGUUAAUCGGAAUUACUGGGCGUAAAGCGCACGCAGGCGGUCUGUCAAGUCGGAUGUGAAAUCCCCGGGCUCAACCUGGGAACUGCAUUCGAAACUGGCAGGCUAGAGUCUUGUAGAGGGGGGUAGAAUUCCAGGUGUAGCGGUGAAAUGCGUAGAGAUCUGGAGGAAUACCGGUGGCGAAGGCGGCCCCCUGGACAAAGACUGACGCUCAGGUGCGAAAGCGUGGGGAGCAAACA
This 427-nucleotide ribosomal RNA is filed under the name uncultured bacterium. RNAcentral's name for it is "partial 16S ribosomal RNA". It matches the Rfam family "Bacterial small subunit ribosomal RNA", at positions 355 to 774 of the family's 1533-position model. The record is from RNAcentral.